AACGAACGCUGGCGGCAGGCUUAACACAUGCAAGUCGAGCGCCCCGCAAGGGGAGCGGCAGACGGGUGAGUAACGCGUGGGAACGUACCCUUUGCUACGGAAUAGCUCCGGGAAACUGGAAUUAAUACCGUAUGUGCCCUACGGGGGAAAGAUUCAUCGGCAAAGGAUCGGCCCGCGUUGGAUUAGCUAGUUGGUGGGGUAAUGGCCUACCAAGGCGACGAUCCAUAGCUGGUCUGAGAGGAUGAUCAGCCACAUUGGGACUGAGACACGGCCCAAACUCCUACGGGAGGCAGCAGUGGGGAAUAUUGGACAAUGGGCGGAAGCCUGAUCCAGCCAUGCCGCGUGAGUGAUGAAGGCCUUCGGGUUGUAAAGCUCUUUCGCACGCGACGAUGAUGACGGUAGCGUGAGAGGAAGCCCCGGCUAACUUCGUGCCAGCAGCCGCCGCGG
This 447-nucleotide ribosomal RNA is filed under the name uncultured bacterium. RNAcentral's name for it is "partial 16S ribosomal RNA". It matches the Rfam family "Bacterial small subunit ribosomal RNA", at positions 29 to 523 of the family's 1533-position model. The record is from RNAcentral.